RNAcentral lists this ribosomal RNA (329 nucleotides) under uncultured Azospirillum sp. Its description in RNAcentral is "bacterial SSU rRNA". It matches the Rfam family "Bacterial small subunit ribosomal RNA", at positions 1038 to 1369 of the family's 1533-position model. Lineage: Bacteria; Pseudomonadati; Pseudomonadota; Alphaproteobacteria; Rhodospirillales; Azospirillaceae. The record is from RNAcentral.
GUGCUGCAUGGCUGUCGUCAGCUCGUGUCGUGAGAUGUUGGGUUAAGUCCCGCAACGAGCGCAACCCCCAUCGUCAGUUGCCAUCAUUCAGUUGGGCACUCUGGCGAAACCGCCGGCGCCAAGCCGGAGGAAGGCGGGGAUGACGUCAAGUCCUCAUGGCCCUUAUGGGCUGGGCUACACACGUGCUACAAUGGCGGUGACAGUGGGACGCGAAACCGCGAGGUGGAGCAAAUCCCCAAAAGCCGUCUCAGUUCGGAUUGCACUCUGCAACUCGAGUGCAUGAAGUUGGAAUCGCUAGUAAUCGCGGAUCAGCACGCCGCGGUGAAUAC